RNAcentral lists this ribosomal RNA (305 nucleotides) under uncultured bacterium. RNAcentral describes it as "bacterial SSU rRNA". It matches the Rfam family "Bacterial small subunit ribosomal RNA", at positions 335 to 656 of the family's 1533-position model. The record is from RNAcentral.
GUUCCUACGGGACGCAGCAGUGGGGAAUAUUGCACAAUGGGGGAAACCCUGAUGCAGCGACGCCGCGUGAGCGAAGAAGUAUUUCGGUAUGUAAAGCUCUAUCAGCAGGGAAGAAAAAUGACGGUACCUGAGUAAGAAGCACCGGCUAAAUACGUGCCAGCAGCCGCGGUAAUACGUAUGGUGCAAGCGUUAUCCGGAUUUACUGGGUGUAAAGGGAGCGUAGACGGCAGAGAAAGUCUGAAGUGAAAGCCCGCGGCUCAACCGCGGAACUGCUUUGGAAACUUUUCGGCUAGAGUACCGGAGAG